AAAGGAGCAAGCCUAUAAGAAGAAAGCUGGCUAACCCUCCCAUCCCUUUUUUAACUCCUCCAGCCCAUCCCACAUCAUUUUAGAGUGAAGGUAAGUGUACCCUAUAUAGUAAAAUGCAUCAGGUCCCUAAAUUCAAGCAGACACAAUGUACUCCACAGGUCCACAGCACAUACCAUAGUUUGAUGUUCCAGAGAUAUGAUUUUUGAGUUUAUAUUAGUAGUGUGAUCAGUAAACCAAGGUUUUCUGUCUUUCCAAGAGACUGCGGUUAAUAUUCAGAAAGAGGCGCCGAGAACUGAAGGCUUUCCUGACUGUAAGCCAUUUAAAACGCAGACAAUGAAAACACUGACACGUGUGUGUGUGUAGAAAUGUGUGGCAAUUACUCAGCCCACUGACAUUAGUUUAUCUAAUUGUGAUAAACUUGACUUACUGUUCACUCCAAUAAUUUCGUUUUUCUGUAUUUUCUAGUGACACCGAAUAAUACCGAAGGCCUGUGUGCUUUGCAGCAGCCUCCACGUCACCCUCUUCCAGGGCUCCGUCAGAGGACUAACGAUAUGCCACAAGAUGAUUGGCAGCAAGACACACCCAGUGAUGAAGGGAUGUGCUCUCCUUAAAUCACAGCCUAUUCAUCAGGUACUCCUGAGUGCUGUGUUAAGAAAUCCUGCCUACAAAGUUCCACUGAGGCUGAUAUAAAGAUGACUGUGAGAAACUGGCUGCGGCUGUCUGAGCAGAGACAGGAAUGGGGGCGGCAAAGGCGGGACAAGCAAGCAUCUUAAGUGAAAUAAUUGAUUGGACUGAUUCUGGAGUAUGACUUAUUCUGGAGGGAAUUUCUUAUUUUUGUUGCAGUUUGCUAUGGGACGGUUUCAAGGACAGGGAUUAGACUAGUUCUAGACUAAAAUAAAUGUAAGAGCUGUCCAAACUGAAAACAACUUGCACUGACAUAUCAUAAAAUACAUCAGUGUAUUUAAGACAUGUUAUUAAAACUAGUUAUAUUUCAGAAUUAAACUAAGGCCUAGUCCCGGUUUAAGAUAAUCCCUGUCCGGGAAACCACCCCAAAGUGUAAUUUGUGGAGUGUUAAAAUAAAUGAAACUGCCUUUGCAAAAACAAAGUAAAAAAAAAAUUCCAGAUGCCCUUCUGUUUUGUUAUUUCUCCUGGAAAACUCACUGAUCCAUUUUUUUCUGUUAGACUGACAUUUACCAGGUUGUCAUAUUGUGUAUGAAAUACACCCUACACAUAACAAUCACUUACUUUCAAUUUAAACUUUUUUUGUCAUAAAACCUGGCAACUCAAAAGGAAGCGGCUGCAGACUGCGCAGCCACGGACGGAGUCUUGCAUGCAAGUGGGCUAGUUGCCUACUUCUCCACUAGCUCUUGUCAAAUUGUUAGGGAAGAAAUUUUAUGAAUAACACAACAUAAACUGUUAUUGAGGGUUGAUUGUUGUUGAUACACAAUAUGAAAUGAGUUAGCCUGCAGGGGUCUCCAACAUUGUGAGCAAGGGCUACAACAAUAUGUAUAAAACAAUCUGGAGGGCUACUUUUUUAUUUAUUCUACUCAAAACUUUUUUGUUUUACUUACUGAUUUUAUUUUAUUUUACUUUUUGAUAUGUUUUAGUAUUGUUUAAUAUGUUAACAUACGUAAACCAAGCCAAGUUAAUAUAAAACAUAUGUAUGUAAUAAAUAAAUAUUACAAUUGAGACUAAUAGAAUGUGCUGGCACCAUGGAGACCCCUGGCCUAAACAAAUCAAUUAUAUAACGGUGGGAUCCUGACGCCUCGCUCCCUUUAACACUGGAACAGCUGCUUUAUAAGCAUGCCUUGACGUUUACAGCGAUGCAGCCGAAAAUCAGCUGUGUUCAAUGGGAGAGCGAAGCGGAUCGCGCCGCAUAUAGGUCAUAAUAAUUAGGGCGGGUUUACGUUGGCUCACGGUCGGCGAUCAUUCUAAUGCCACCAUCUUCCCGAUGUCUUGCCUAUUAGCUACCGAUCUCCAUAAGACAUCUCACCGAGGCACUUUAUGUCGGGCAAGUACAUGCGCCCCAACGUCGGUAAGAGCUAAAUUGCUGUCUGGGAACAUACA
Molecule: non-coding RNA, 2067 nt
Organism: Misgurnus anguillicaudatus (oriental weatherfish)
Lineage: Eukaryota; Metazoa; Chordata; Actinopteri; Cypriniformes; Cobitidae
Source: RefSeq, a predicted model, not a curated record